AAAAAGACAAACCCUGCGUUUUCGUGUCCAACUUUGACUAUCCGUCUUAUAUGAAUUUUUCUUAUAAUUCGUAAUUUCAUUGUUGUUAGAUGAUAAAACAUGAUUAAUAUUUUAUGCGUGACUUAUCUUUUUAAUUUUUUUCAUAUUUUCUUUAAAUAAGACAGAUGGUCAAAAGUUGGAUACGGAAACUAGGG
This 194-nucleotide microRNA precursor is filed under the name Oryza sativa Indica Group (long-grained rice). Its description in RNAcentral is "MIR812 microRNA precursor family". It matches the Rfam family "MIR812 microRNA precursor family". Lineage: Eukaryota; Viridiplantae; Streptophyta; Magnoliopsida; Poales; Poaceae. The record is from Rfam by way of RNAcentral.